This is a long non-coding RNA of Ictalurus punctatus (channel catfish), 1871 nucleotides long. Lineage: Eukaryota; Metazoa; Chordata; Actinopteri; Siluriformes; Ictaluridae. The record is from Ensembl.
AAUGUUUUGGAAUUAAACUAAAACAACCACUGACCUUGAUCUUGACUGAAUAGUCAUGCAAAACAGUUUUGCUUUCUGUGUGGCUCUGAAACAUGUUUUCUACAGCUAAAAGAGAAUGCACUGAGCCACUCUAUGGUUAGACUGGUAGUGAAGGAAAGCGAGUGUUAUCAUAAACAGAACUUAGCAGAGUCUGGUCUACCAGUGGGUGGCAGCAAUCUCCACACUUUUCAUGAGGCGUCCUUCUAAACGUCCUUUGACUCUGAGAAGCUGAAAGUUCAGCUGUGUAACUAUGCAAUACUCUAAUUUCAGGAGGGCACGACGGCUCCAGACGUCUCCUGUAGCUUUGAAGCCAGUGCAAUCAGUUUAAAGAACAAAAGCAACAGUUGCUGUAGAAGCACUUGAGUCUCAAAAUGCUAAAGACAUGGGUGAAAGGUUCUGGCCCCACUGGAUUCCCAGCACUCCAGAUCUGUAACAGGAGGUCUGACUGAGAAAGAAUGGCAGGGAGCUGUGAAAGGAAAACGUGGCUCAGAAAGGUCUUGUCGGCACUUCCUCCAGCAAAUUAGCAGCUCUCUGAGGGUACAAGUACAACUUCAUUGACCUGGCCAAUUCUGGAAAAUGUCCCACGCUGUCCUCCCCCAUGGCAGCCCUUCACUGUUCUUCUGACAACAAACCCCAGUUACUUCACCAAUUAAGGAGAGAAAUCGCCAUGAAAGCCUGGUGCUGUGAGGUUAUGCACGGCAGUAACAGAGGAAUUUCUUCAUGCAGCUCUGGAGUACAGAGGGUGCAAUGGACUGUGAAUAGCAAGACAAGACAGCUCCCUGGAGCGAGAGGCUGGAGUGAGGGCCUUACAGCUGUUUUCUGGAGAUAAUUGAUUUUGGAAUAGACCAGAGAUGAGAGCGGACAGGCGGGGCUGAUGGCGCACUGCAGCGGGGUCCAAGCCAAUUUCCGCAGGCCUUGUCCCUUUAAUUACUGUGGUGCUAGAGCAUGGGAUGCGCCCACUCUCCCAUCCAGAAACGCUUGGUCCCAUCUGCAUUAUAAAAGGAUGAAAGGUUGACAAUCACAGUUCAUCACUCCCAGAAAUCCAAGGAAUGAUUGACAAUUUCACAGGCAAAGCAAAUUACAGUGAAGAUUUGUGCUCAGAAUUAGACCUUGGAUAUCGCUUUAGAUGACCUUGAGGAAACACGGGCACGAUGGUUGAAAAACGUUUUAGUCUGACUUUGUAAAUUCCAAAGCGUGAAGAAAAUGCAGUUUUUAACAGUAGUUUCUAGUCAGGAAAUAACGCUCGGUCAAAGGUGAAGUCAGUGUUACCUCUGUGUAAUUCCAUACAGCAGUGAAGGAUCACCUUUUUAAACAACUUGGAUACUGAUUAGGAACAUCUGAAAAGUUUUGUUAACAGGUGUAUUUAUAAAUUGUACAUGGAGGUCAAAGUGGAUUACAGAUGGUUACUGCACUGAGUUAUGAAGGAAAUGAAAGGAGUGAGAAGUGAUGACAAGAGAAGGAAGUACAGAUUUCUGAGCACCGACUGAGAAACAAGAUGGGAGUGGUUACAACGCAUGAAUGUGCAAUACAGACACCUGAAACUUCCACAAAGAAGCACAGACAGCUUUACACAUUAUAAGUGAGAUACUAUCUCCAUGAUAAUAUCUGCUUUAGAAGCCAGUGUUGUGGAAAAACUCACUUCAAAAAGAAAGCAUUUUAAAGACCACAUGUUAAUUUUAUACCAACCUUGCUGGACAGGUUUGUGCCAAAUUGUGUGAUUUUCACAGUCACUGCUUCUGACAUGGACAGUCGUAUAAUGGAGUGUACUUGACAAAGGAUAUUUAAUUCAAUAUAAUUUUUAUCCAACUCCUGCUAUAGUGCUUACAGGGUUG